GGUGCAGAAGGCUGCAGCAGGUGUUCUGAGUUGGUGAUUGGGUGAUUGUGUGCAGGUGGAAGUCAUGCAAUCAAGCUGCUCCCGCUCUGCUUAUAAUCAGACGCCACUCUGUCGUGGAUGUGGGACUGUGAGCAAUGAACAUGUCGACUUCUGCCUGCUUCAGCUCCCGGAUCCUCUGCCUGGUUACCUACCUCCUUCCCACCUUUCAGCCUCCUGGAUGAAACACCUGCUGUCAGCCAGACCUCGCCACCUGAGACGCCAUAACCAUCCAGGUGUGUAUUGGUGCAGAAGGCUGCAGCAGGUGUUCUGAGUUGGUGAUUGGGUGAUUGUGUGCAGGUGGAAGUCAUGCAAUCAAGCUGCUCCCGCUCUGCUUAUAAUCAGACGCCACUCUGUCGUGGAUGUGGGACUGUGAGCAAUGAACAUGUCGACUUCUGCCUGCUUCAGCUCCCGGAUCCUCUGCCUGGUUACCUACCUCCUUCCCACCUUUCAGCCUCCUGGAUGAAACACCUGCUGUCAGCCAGACCUCGCCACCUGAGACGCCAUAACCAUCCAGGUGGGUUAUAAUCUAGUGGAAAGCUUGGACGCCUCGUAGCCAUACCUCUGCCUCAGCUGCUCCAUCGCUGGUCCAAACACCUGCAAGAGGAUUCACUUACCUGGACUGGCCCGGCUUUCCCCCUAUCCUGAACUCUGUUCCUCCAUGACAGCCAGUUAAGUCUCUGUUCCCGAGUAGUAUCGGACUAUCGUUGACCAACAUUAGUAUUACAGCCGUUCGUUAGUUGUAUCCUGUAUUAUUCUCUGGUAAAUAAUUGUAGUUUUGUAAAUGGUUGUUUUGGGUGUUGGAUUACUGUUGGUAUUGAUUCUGGAUUUUGUUGAUGUUAUUUAGGAUUCCUGCCUUAGUGCUACCGAAUGUGAGUUUUCAUGGUCUGAGAGCCCAGCUCUCUCCUGUUGCCCCGGUCUGAGAGCCCAGCUCUCUCCUGUUGCCCCGGUCUGAGAGCCCAGCUCUCUCCUGUUGCCCCGGUCAGAGAGCCCAGCUCUCUCCUGUUGCCCCGGUCAGAGAGCCCAGCUCUCUCCUGUUGCCCCGGUCAGAGAGCCCAGCACUCUCCUGUUGCCCCGGUCAGAGAGCCCAGCACUCUCCUGUUGCCCUGGUCUGAGAGCCCAGCCGACUGAUUGGUUGGCUGGCCGGUGGCUCGCUGGCUGGCUGGCUCCCUCCUGUUGCCCCGGUCUGAAAGCCCAGCUUUCUCCUGUUGCCCCGGUCAAAGAGCCCAGCUCGGCUGGGCUCUCAGACCGGCUGGCUGGCUGACUGGUCGGCUGGCUGACUGGUCGGCUGGCUGGCCGGCGGGCUGGCUGGCUCCUGUUGCCCCGGUCAGAGAGCCCAGCUCUCUCCUGUUGCCCUGGUCUGAGAGCCCAGCUCUCUCCUGUUGACCUGGUCUGAGAGCCCAGCUCUCUCCUGUUGACCCGGUCAAAGAGCCCAGCUCAGCUGGGCUCUCGGACCAGCCGGCUGGCUGGCUCUCUCCUGUUGCCCCGGUCAGAGCGCAGUUCUUUCUCCUGUUGCCCCGGUCAGAGAGCC
Amphiprion ocellaris (clown anemonefish) is the source of this 1567-nucleotide long non-coding RNA. RefSeq lists it as uncharacterized. The transcript has 4 exons. The record is from RefSeq and is a predicted model, not a curated record. Lineage: Eukaryota; Metazoa; Chordata; Actinopteri; Pomacentridae.